UACAGAGGUGGCAAGCGUUGUUCGGAAUUACUGGGCGUAAAGGGCGCGUAGGCGGCCUACUAAGUCAGACGUGAAAUCCCCAGGCUUAACUUGGGAACUGCGUCUGAUACUGGAAGGCUUGAGUGCGGGAGAGGGAUGUGGAAUUCCAGGUGUAGCGGUGAAAUGCGUAGAUAUGCGGAGGAACACCGAUGGCGAAGGCAAUCCCCUGGGCCUGCACUGACGCUCAUGCACGAAAGCGUGGGGAGCAAACAGG
Molecule: ribosomal RNA, 253 nt
Filed under: uncultured bacterium
Lineage: Bacteria
Description: partial 16S ribosomal RNA
Rfam family: Bacterial small subunit ribosomal RNA
Source: RNAcentral